Long non-coding RNA from Lemur catta (Ring-tailed lemur), 1305 nucleotides. RefSeq lists it as uncharacterized. The transcript is spliced from 7 exons. Lineage: Eukaryota; Metazoa; Chordata; Mammalia; Primates; Lemuridae. The record is from RefSeq and is a predicted model, not a curated record.
UCAUAACUCUCCAAGAGGAAGAUACUAUAUGCAGUGAUUCCUAACUUACUGGCCACAGAACUCUUCUUUCUUGAAGCAUCUUAAGGAACUGAUACAAUUGUGAAAGUUGGGGGACAUGUUCUUAAGGAUAUCUCUGACACAGCACAGAAGAGAUCAUCAAUAAAUGUUAAAGAAGGAAGAGAAGGAAGAAGGGAAGGGAAGGAAGAAGGGAAGGGAAGGAAAGAAGGAAAAAAAGGAAGGAAGGAGCAAGCAAACGAAUGAAUCCAAUCUUCUGGCAGCUUUCCUGUCCUCCAUCAUUCCUGGAAGAUGCCCAACAGUGAUGCAUUGAUCUCAUUUACAAAUUCUGUCAGUGCGCUGAGUAACAGUUCCCAAGUUUAUCACUCAGGGCAUAAAUUACUGUGGUUCUGCAAGAUAUUAAUUCAUUCACAGUGACUAAUUUGCCUCCUAUUUGAUGAUAAUGCCAACUAUUGACUAAGGCAAAAUUACUCAGCUUGCCAACCAAAAAAACAAAAUCACUUAUUCAGAAAAUGGCUCAUCUAGGAAAGAAGCAGCUGCUUUUGAAAUUGACACAGAUGAGCUAAAAUUUGAUUCUCUAGAAAAAGAUUAAUUUUGAUGAUUCAUUUGGCUCAGUGGUCAGGUUUUGGUGAAGACAAGGAAAGUGGAAAUGAAGGAUAAGGGAACACAGAAUAGACCUAUCUACUGAAUCACCUAAGACUGGGACCAAGAAUCUGAACAUAAUGAGUUUCCUAUGUCCCUCUGUGCACGCUACAGUUUGAGAAUGGCUGCCCUGGAAGAGAGUUCCAGACAUUGCUAGAAGCACAGAUGAAGAAGGUGGCAUGUGUGCUGGUUCUGGUACCCGUGGCCCAUUUACUCAGGGGAGAAAUCAUCCAUGUGGCAUGCUGGCUUGGCACCUAGAUCAACAAGAAGAUGCAGUGAGAGAGAGAGAGAGAGAGAGAGAGAGAAUGCCCAGACCAGAGAACAACUUUUAGACACAUUUGACUCACGCAAUCGACACACUUUGACUGACAAGACCUCUGACUCACCUAUUUCUGCUCCUCUCUCAUAAAUCACUCAUACUAUGGCCAGAAAAAGCCAUCACAUGCAGUGCGAUGCAUUUCAGCAUCACUUCGGAGCUCCAGGUGGAAGAUGCAGUGGAGGCAACAUUGACUGUGACCUGGAUGUGGAGCGGCCCAACCUCAGGCCCGCCUUGCUUCCCAAGGUGAUCCAGGCACUGUUGCCGGCUUGUUCCAUCCUUGAUUGAAACCUCUUCUGUGCACAGUCUUCUAAAGAACAUAAGCCAAAGGC